GACGAACGCUGGCGGCGUGCCUAAUACAUGCAAGUUGAGCGCUGAAGGUUGGUACUUGUCCCAACUGGCUGAGCAGCGAACGGGUGAGUAACGCGUGGGGAAUCUGCCUUUGAGCGGGGGACAACAUUUGGAAACGAAUGCUAAUACCGCAUAAAAACUUUAAACACAAGUUUUAAGUUUGAAAGAUGCAAUUGCAUCACUCAAAGAUGAUCCCGCGUUGUAUUAGCUAGUUGGUGAGGUAAAGGCUCACCAAGGCGAUGAUACAUAGCCGACCUGAGAGGGUGAUCGGCCACAUUGGGACUGAGACACGGCCCAAACUCCUACGGGAGGCAGCAGUAGGGAAUCUUCGGCAAUGGACGAAAGUCUGACCGAGCAACGCCGCGUGAGUGAAGAAGGGUUUCGGAUCGUAAAACUCUGUUGGUAGAGAAGAACGUUGGUGAGAGUGGAAAGCUCAUCAAGUGACGGUAACUACCCAGAGAGGGACGGCUAACUACGUG
RNAcentral lists this ribosomal RNA (497 nucleotides) under uncultured bacterium. RNAcentral describes it as "partial 16S ribosomal RNA". It matches the Rfam family "Bacterial small subunit ribosomal RNA", at positions 28 to 507 of the family's 1533-position model. The record is from RNAcentral.